UACGAGUGCCUCAAGCGUUAUCCGGAAUCAUUGGGCGUAAAGGUUGUGUAGGUGGUCAUAUAAGUCUUGUGUGAAAUCUUCGGGCUCAACUCGAAGUCUGCACGAGAAACUAUCUGGCUUGAGUGUGGGAGAGGUGAGUGGAAUUCCUGGUGUAGCGGUGAAAUGCGUAGAUAUCAGGAGGAACACCUGUGGCGAAGGCGGGUCUCUGGGCCGAUACUGACGCUGAGGAGCGAAAGCGUGGGGAGCAAACAGG
This 253-nucleotide ribosomal RNA is filed under the name uncultured bacterium. RNAcentral's name for it is "partial 16S ribosomal RNA". It matches the Rfam family "Bacterial small subunit ribosomal RNA", at positions 524 to 776 of the family's 1533-position model. The record is from RNAcentral.